This 600-nucleotide ribosomal RNA is filed under the name uncultured fungus. RNAcentral describes it as "eukaryotic LSU rRNA". The stretch from base 199 to 352 matches the Rfam family "5.8S ribosomal RNA". Lineage: Eukaryota; Fungi. The record is from RNAcentral.
UCCGUAGGUGAACCUGCGGAGGGAUCAUUACUGAGUUCGUGCCCCUCGGGGUAGACCUCCAACCCAGUGUCUCUGUACCUCUGUUGCUUUGGUAGGCCGCCGGGCGUUGCCUGGCUCCCGGCUCCGGCUGGGGAGUGCCUACCAGAGGACCCUUCAAACCUGAUUGUCAGUGUUGUCUGAGUACUAUGUAAUCGUUAAAACUUUCAACAACGGAUCUCUUGGUUCUGGCAUCGAUGAAGAACGCAGCGAAAUGCGAUAAGUAAUGUGAAUUGCAGAAUUUAGUGAAUCAUCGAAUCUUUGAACGCACAUUGCGCCCCUUGGUAUUCCGGGGGGCAUGCCUGUUCGAGCGUCAUUACAACCCUCAAGCUCUGCUUGGUGUUGGGCGUCACCCGCCUGGGUGUGCCCUAAAAUCAGUGGCGGCGCCGCCUGGCUCCAAGCGUAGUACAUGCUCUCGCUAUGGACGCCGUGUCGGUGCUUGCCAGCAACCCCCAAACUCAUCAAGGUUGACCUCGGAUCAGGUAGGGAUACCCGCUGAACUUAAGCAUAUCAAUAAGCGGAGGGAAGUCGGACUGGCCAAGGGGCACACCAGGGGGGGGGAUA